This 253-nucleotide ribosomal RNA is filed under the name uncultured bacterium. RNAcentral describes it as "partial 16S ribosomal RNA". It matches the Rfam family "Bacterial small subunit ribosomal RNA", at positions 524 to 776 of the family's 1533-position model. The record is from RNAcentral.
UACGUAGGUGACCAGCGUUGUCCGGAUUUACUGGGCGUAAAGAGCGCGCAGGCGGUCGUUCAAGUCGAGUGUGAAAGCCCCCGGCUCAACUGGGGAGGGUCAUUCGAUACUGAUCGACUCGAAGGCAGGAGAGGGAAGCGGAAUUCCCGGUGUAGUGGUGAAAUGCGUAGAUAUCGGGAGGAACACCAGUGGCGAAGGCGGGAUCCUGGGCCAGUACUGACGCUGAGGAGCGAAAGCGUGGGGAGCAAACAGG